Molecule: long non-coding RNA, 4974 nt
Organism: Pecten maximus
Lineage: Eukaryota; Metazoa; Mollusca; Bivalvia; Pectinida; Pectinidae
Exons: 4
Source: RefSeq, a predicted model, not a curated record
UGUUUAUGAAAUUGUUAUAAUUUGGGAUUCUGUUACAGUAUUGAUUCAGGGAUCAUUUCGGAGGGGCCAUUGGCCCACAAUAUAUCGUGAAUGACCCAGAAAAAAUCCUUUUAAUUUCUAUAUAUGGCCCAUAGAUUAUAUAUUACACAUAGUUCUUUUUCUUGAAAAUGAUCCUAUAUAUUACACAUAGUUCUUUUUCUUGAAAAUGAUCCAUUCAUUUUUUAAUCAGAGAAAAUCCCUGGUAAUGAGAUUUACAGUAGAUAUGUGCUGUGCAAGACCUAUUCUGACUGGCAGGAUUUUUAGCUGGGUUUGUAAAAAUGGGCAAUUCUGCUAGUCAUUGGUAUCUCUUAAUAAAAAUACUUGUGGUAUGAUUGGUAAAACAAUAUCAUUUGUGGAAAUUGUGAAAAAAAAAAAAAAAAAAAGAGGCUUAAAUCCAGGAUUUUAUUUUUGUACUAUGUAUCUAAAAUUCCAUGUUAUUUAGGUUUUGUUGAGCUAUAUGUCACACAAUGCUUCUGACUGAACGAGACAUGUAGUAAGGGGGCCAAGAAGACAGCAUAAUGGAUAUGAAAACGAAAAACAUCUGGAACAGUUGUUCAUUCAAAAGGGAAAAUGUCAUGAAAUGCAGAAUUUGCAGAGCAUGCUUGUAAAAGGCAAAUUAACUUUGAACAUCAAUACAUAUUGUUAACAGGUUAUUCCAACUUCAAACUUAAUACUAAACUGACCAGGAAAAUUUAACGGUUACACUGACUUCAAUUGAAAAAAGUUGAGGCCUGUGAUUAGUCAAAAAAGCAAUUUUGACUAUGUCUUCCAUUUAUAGAUGUGUGCAAGAAUUUGUUAAUGGACAUAUAUAUAGUGUGUAUUGAGUUGGAAAUUGAAAUUUAAUUGAGUUGGUGAAAAUUGCUCUGAUGAUACUUCGUUCAUUAUGUCAAAAAAAGAGUUAUGCAAAGAAAAUUCCCUUUUACUGCAUCUAACAUUGACACCAACUUUUCAUAAUUAAACAAUACUUAUUUUCUCAAGUAAUUUUAUAAGUUUGUCAUUGUAGGGUGUCUUGAUAUUUGAUAGUGUUAUGUACUGGCUUAUCAAACACUUCAAAGACAAAUUGGUUUUGAAGUUACAACUUGUACAAAUUACAAGAUCCUUCAUCGUGUCAAUGUUGCAUUUCAUGUUAAAGAAAUUUUCCACCAAAACUUAGCUGAAAUAGGAAGAAAUAAAGUACAGUAGUUAAAAUUUUCAUUUUUCAUUUUGAUUGAUUAGCUGCAUUUAAAUUGCUAAUCAACUUAAAUUUCUUAAAAUUUUGUGUAUGUAAUAUUGAUACUACAGUAUGUAACAUUGAAACUAUAGUAUCAUGCAGGGUUUUCCCUGGCACCCUCAAAUAUAAUAAAUUUAGGAGUCCUGGGACUCCAAUCACAUUAAUAUGUUGUAAACUCUAUCAAUUUUUGGAGUCCUUUGGCAAUUUUAGGAGUCAAAAUGCAGGUUUUAGCGAGUCAGGGAAAACCUUGAGUAUGUAAUAUAGAUACCAUGUUACCAGAACAAUAUUCGCACACUGUGAUCACUUGAGCUCAUCAAUAAAAAAAUGUUAAAAAAGCUAGGUCUGGCAUAAAGUUAACCCUAGUCAUGCUAUGACCGACUAUAGUCGGUUCUUCGGGCUCGUGCUGAAACAGACUUUAGUCGGUCUGUGUUACGUAAUGUCGCUUCAUGUUUUGGGAUGCCGAUAAUAUCAAAAUUAAUCCGAAUUGGAAGUAAUCUUUUCAUCGACAAUUUUGUUAGAAUGUCAAUAUAAUGUGUGUAAAAUGUAAAUACCGAACUCGUCAGGGUUUUUAAGAACGGUGCCAUAGUUUCUCAACUGACGGCGAAUUUCUCGGUUGUGUAGUAUUUUUAGCUAAGGAAUCCCGCCCGGAAGCAAAGUAAUAAAACUUUGAACAAGCGCAGUGCUAUCAUGACCUCACUUCCGCGCACAUGUCGGCAAGUAUCAGAACAGGGUGCUCCUGUAUUAAUCGGUUCUCUGACGAUGUUUCGGACUUAAUCAGCGACGUUUUGUGCACGUACGUAAUAUACACAUCUAAUUUGUAACUACGAAUUACAUGUGAAUGUACAGAAUGUUUUAUAAUGCUGUAAAUCGAAUCUGUUUCGGUCUCAAUUGAUACACUAAAUGUUGUUACGUCAUCGUAAUAUGUGUACACCGGAGUUACCUGUUUUGACGAAUACAAACAAAACUGUAAAAUCGUUGGUUAUUCGGAUCAAAGAUCAAAUUAAAUGAUUGAAUUAUACAAAGUUGUUAUGUUGUUAUUUUUCAUUCAUUGUUUGGGAGUAAUUUAAUAGGCAAAUGGUGUUAAAAAUAGCAAUAAUCGUAGGAGUGAUCAGACGGCCGUUUGUUUACAAAAUAUGGCUGAAGGGGAUUCCCUACUCGCGAAUGUUUUGCCGGAAAACCGGGAUCUUUUUGAGGAAAUUUUCCAAAACGAUGAUAGCGACGAAGAGUUUGAGGGAUGGGAUAUAAAUGAUGUAGACGAAGAAGAUCAUCAGAAUGGAUUUGACGACGAAAGCUGGGUCCAAGGUGGCAUACCCCUGUCUGGUAGGACGUUCCUAGGAGAUCCUGGUGUGAGGAAUCCCCCAGAAGAAGGUGAGACAUGGGCAUACGUCGACUACGUUCAGAAGAUUUUACCUGAUGCUAUAUUGAAUAUCAUUGUCCUUGAGACGAACAGAUAUGCUGAUCAGUAUUUACAGGCACAUAUUGACCUUCCACAACACUCCAGAUUGAGAAAAUGGGUUCCCACGUCAUUGGGGGAGAUGAAAGCGUUCUUUGGCAUGCUUAUUGCAACGGGCCUUCUGAGACAGGCAGACAUUCAAGACUAUUGGUCCACCAACGAGGUGAUAAGUGUACCCUUUUUCCAUACUGUUAUGUCAAGAGACAGAUUUUUAAAUAUAAUGAGUUUUUUUCAUCUAUCCAAUAACAACACUGCUGUGCAGAGAGGCCUUGAUGGCUAUUCCCCCUUGCAGAAGCUGGACACCAUUUGUUCAACUUCUGAGGAAUUUCGAGGAGUGCUACAAUCCCACAAGGAAUGUAGCCAUAGAUGAGGGCAUGAUACCUUGGAGGGGUAAACUGAAUUUCAGAGUGUAUAGUCCAGACAAACCUGUUAAGUAUGGGUUGAAGUUGUAUAUGUUGUGUGACUCUGCCAACGGAUACUGCAGUCGUCUGGAGCUAUACACAGGCCGUGAGGGUACCCAGCCUGACAGCAGCGGACAUGGCACAACGUAUGACAUUGUCAUGCGUUUACUUCAGCCGUACCUCAACAAAGGUUAUCACCUAUAUACAGAUAAUUACUACAGCAGCCCACAACUGUAUUAUGACCUUUUUAUGAAUGCAACACUGGCCUGUGGCACAUUGCGAUCAAAUAGGAGAGGAGUUCCCAUGGCACUGAAGAAUGCACACCCUGCGAAGGGAGAAAUAUCAGUUUUUAAUAAUGGGACUUUGGUUGCAUUGAAGUACUCAGACAAGAAAGAAGUUUCCCUUCUGACGACAAUUCAUGAAGGUAUGCAAACAUACUUAACACUGUUAAUCACAUAAGUUUACAGCUGGUAUGCAAUUUUGAAAUGCCUGACCCUCUUUAGGCCUACAUUUCACAUUUAAUGUUUCAACUGAUACCAAUUUCAAUAUUAUACCUAUACCUUAUAUCGUACUGUACAUGUGCUAUUUAAAAUAACAAGUGUGUUUUAUUUAAUGAUAUUAAACCUCCUGGUGAUAUAUAUAUAUAUUACAUGUAAUCUGGGAUAUAUGGCAAAUUUAAUUAACCUGUCAAAAGUUAUUUGUCUGAUUUAAUCUGUGUUUGUUGACAAUGCAAUGAUUAGGUUUAUUAUUUUCUGCUUUGAUCGAGUAUUGUAAGGACAUCUAUAAAUUAAAUUAUUUCAGGUGUGAUGACAGAUACUGGGAAGCGCGACAAGGAUGGGAACCGAAUCCUCAGACCUGACUGUGUGCUUAGCUACAACAAGUACAUGGGAGCAGUUGAUAGAUGUGACCAAAUGGUUUCGUACAGCGGCUUUGACCGACGCACACUGAAGUGGUGGAAGAAGGUGUUCUUUCAUGUCCUGGGAAUUGCGGUAUUGAACGCCUAUGUUAUCUACAAAGAAACCACUCGGCGUCCAGUUCUUCACAGGGUAUUUAGAAGGGAAGUUGUCCGUCAGCUGGUCAUGGAGUCUGAUGUCACUGGGCCGGAAUCAAGAGGCAGGAAGAGGACAGCAGGAGACAACCUCCAAUGAUUAUCAGCUAGGCAUUUUCUCGGUCGUCUUCCUCCAACAGUUACCAAGACAGCAGCGAGAAGGCGAUGUGUCGUCUGUGGGCCAGGAGAGGCCGAGGUUUAUAGGGCACAGCAACCAGGACUUGAGACACCAAGACGACUCGGCAGGGAAACAACAUUCCAAUGUAAACAGUGUUGUGUGGCCUUAUGUGUGGAGCCUUGUUUUGAACUUUACCACACUAAGGCCGAGUUUGUAUUGGCAUAUAAAAGACUUAAACUUGCCACUCAACCUGGACAAGAAGAGUAGAUGGGUCAUCAGAUUUCCAAUCAAUGUACUUUGAUAAAUAAUUGAUGUAUAUGCGAUAUGUAUCAUUACGCUAGAUUAUAUGCUUUAGUGUAAGCCAUUUCUGAUGUGUUUAUAACCAAUGAUCCAGUAUUCAGAUAAUACACAAAUUAUAGACCUGUUGUACAUUUAUAUUUGCAUUGUAAUACAGCAAAUAUGUUCAAUAUAAGUUUUUUUUUUCAUUUCCUUUUCAUAUAUCUUUUAACAAUGAUAUUGUAAACUAAACACAUCAGAGUAUAUAUUUCAAAAAAUGGUUAUCUCCCUUGAAUUACCUAACAUUGUAUACUUGGUGAGAGUUGGGGUUUUAUUUCAGCUAUUUUUUCACUUACAUGUGUAUGUGAGCAUACAUGCAUAGGAAUGUUCAAUUAAUUGUGGAAAGGUCAACAAUAAAUUGUGCUCUUU